AAGGAUUUAAGUUAAUAUAAACUAGUAACCUUCAAAGUUACCAAUAACAAGUCAAAUUUUUAAGCCUUG
This 69-nucleotide transfer RNA is filed under the name Elateroidea sp. 1 KM-2017. RNAcentral's name for it is "tRNA-Trp". Lineage: Eukaryota; Metazoa; Arthropoda; Insecta; Coleoptera. The record is from RNAcentral.